This 732-nucleotide ribosomal RNA is filed under the name uncultured bacterium. RNAcentral describes it as "bacterial SSU rRNA". It matches the Rfam family "Bacterial small subunit ribosomal RNA", at positions 28 to 776 of the family's 1533-position model. The record is from RNAcentral.
GAUGAACGCUGACAGAAUGCUUAACACAUGCAAGUCGAUUCAAAGUUCCCUUCGGGGAAUGGAGGAUGGCGGACGGGUGAGUAACGCAUAAGGAACUUGCCUUUUGGCCUGGGACAACUGUUGGAAACGACAGCUAAUACCGGAUAUUAUGAGAUUCUCGCAUGGGAAACUUAUGAAAGCUAUAUGCGCCAAAAGAGAGCCUUGCGUUCCAUUAGCUAGUUGGUGGGGUAACGGCCCACCAAGGCGACGAUGGAUAGCCGGCCUGAGAGGGUGAACGGCCACAAGGGGACUGAGACACGGCCCUUACUCCUACGGGAGGCAGCAGUGGGGAAUAUUGGACAAUGGACCACAAGUCUGAUCCAGCAAUUCUGUGUGCACGAUGAAGGUUUUCGGAUCGUAAAGUGCUUUCAGUUGGGAAGAAGAAAGUGACGGUACCAACAGAAGAAGCGACGGCUAAAUACGUGCCAGCAGCCGCGGUAAUACGUAUGUCGCAAGCGUUAUCCGGAUUUAUUGGGCGUAAAGCGCGUCUAGGCGGAAAAGAAAGUCUGAUGUUAAAAUGCGGGGCUCAACUCCGUAUUGCGUUGGAAACUGCUUUUCUAGAGUACUGGAGAGGUGGGCGGAACUACAAGUGUAGAGGUGAAAUUCGUAGAUACUUGUAGGAAUGCCGAUGGAGAAGUCAGCUCACUGGACAGAUACUGACGCUAAAGCGCGAAAGCGUGGGGAGCAAACAGG